Molecule: non-coding RNA, 100 nt
Organism: Selenihalanaerobacter shriftii
Lineage: Bacteria; Bacillati; Bacillota; Clostridia; Halanaerobiales; Halobacteroidaceae
Source: Rfam
AUGAGUGAUGCUAAGCUUCCAGAUGUGCAAGCAGGUUAUGAAAAAGCGAUGACUACUCUAUUAGCAGGUAUGUCAGGUGCUAACUUUAUUCAUGAUUCAG